GGACAUCUCAGCAUGGCUCAGCUUUUGAUUAUAACCAGAGCUACAUGGCAUAUGGCUCCCCUAGAAAACAGUCAGGAAAAGGUUCGAAUCAGAUACCAGAUAACUUUUCGGCAGAAGUUUUACCAUUAAGCUCUCUGAAACAUCCUGGAAGGAAAGAUAAAGCAAUUUUAAGGACUGCUGAUAUUGACAACAACCCACAAGUACUUUCUGCAUCAUCAUCAAGACCUGGAAGUAGUGCUAGAAGAAGUCCUUUCGCAAAGAGAGAAUGCUCAUGGGGCUAUUUAAGUGGAUUUUCUGGUCACCCAAAUUACAUGGCUAAUACGGAAUCAUUCCGGGCUAAGUACCGGUCUCAGAGUGCCCCAAGGCAGAGACU
RNAcentral lists this long non-coding RNA (373 nucleotides) under Gossypium barbadense (sea-island cotton). Its description in RNAcentral is "long non-coding RNA (GBAR_LNC018518)". Lineage: Eukaryota; Viridiplantae; Streptophyta; Magnoliopsida; Malvales; Malvaceae. The record is from RNAcentral.